UGAGGAAUAUUGGUCAAUGGGCGAGAGCCUGAACCAGCCAAGUAGCGUGCAGGAUGACGGCCCUAUGGGUUGUAAACUGCUUUUAUAUGGGAAUAAAGUGAGGGACGUGUCCCUUAUUGCAUGUACCAUACGAAUAAGGACCGGCUAAUUCCGUGCCAGCAGCCGCGGUAAUACGGAAGGUCCAGGCGUUAUCCGGAUUUAUUGGGUUUAAAGGGAGCGUAGGCCGUUUGGUAAGCGUGUUGUGAAAUGUAGGAGCUCAACUUCUAGAUUGCAGCGCGAACUGUCAGACUUGAGUGCGCACAACGUAGGCGGAAUUCAUGGUGUAGCGGUGAAAUGCUUAGAUAUCAUGAAGAACUCCGAUUGCGAAGGCAGCUUACGGGAGCGCAACUGACGCUGAAGCUCGAAGGUGCGGGUAUCGAACAGG
RNAcentral lists this ribosomal RNA (424 nucleotides) under Verrucomicrobiota bacterium. RNAcentral's name for it is "Verrucomicrobia bacterium partial 16S ribosomal RNA". It matches the Rfam family "Bacterial small subunit ribosomal RNA", at positions 355 to 776 of the family's 1533-position model. The record is from RNAcentral. Lineage: Bacteria; Pseudomonadati; Verrucomicrobiota.